This 89-nucleotide transfer RNA is filed under the name Actinomycetes bacterium. RNAcentral describes it as "tRNA-Leu". It matches the Rfam family "tRNA". From Rfam's summary of the family: Transfer RNA (tRNA) molecules are approximately 80 nucleotides in length. Their secondary structure includes four short double-helical elements and three loops (D, anti-codon, and T loops). The record is from RNAcentral. RNAcentral also lists the same sequence under 2 other names. Lineage: Bacteria; Bacillati; Actinomycetota; Actinomycetes.
GCCGAAGUGGCGGAAUUGGUAGACGCGCUGGACUCAAAAUCCAGUGAGUUUUAAUACUCAUGUGGGUUCAACUCCCACCUUCGGCACCA